CCCUUAGAUGUUCUGGGCCGCACGCGCGCUACACUGAUGCAUUCAACGAGCCUAGCCUUGACCGAGAGGUCCGGGUAAUCUUUGAAACUGCAUCGUGAUGGGGCUAGAUUAUUGCAAUUAUUAAUCUUCAACGAGGAAUGCCUAGUAAGCGUGAUUCAUCAAAUCGUGUUGAUUACGUCCCUGCCCUUUGUACACACCGCCCGUCGCUCCUACCGAUUGAGUGUGUUGGUGAGGAGUUUGGAUUGGCCUCGGAAGGUGGUUCGCCACCGUCCGUAGCUGAGAAGUUCUCCAAACCGCCCCACUUAGAGGAAGGAGAAGUCGUAACA
Molecule: ribosomal RNA, 326 nt
Filed under: uncultured eukaryote
Lineage: Eukaryota
Description: partial 18S ribosomal RNA
Rfam family: Eukaryotic small subunit ribosomal RNA
Source: RNAcentral